AACUUUCUCCCGCAGCUGUUCUGU
This 24-nucleotide microRNA is filed under the name Brachypodium distachyon (stiff brome). RNAcentral's name for it is "bdi-miR7730-3p". The record is from miRBase by way of RNAcentral. Lineage: Eukaryota; Viridiplantae; Streptophyta; Magnoliopsida; Poales; Poaceae.